Long non-coding RNA from Nerophis ophidion (straightnose pipefish), 406 nucleotides. RefSeq lists it as uncharacterized. The record is from RefSeq and is a predicted model, not a curated record. The transcript is spliced from 3 exons. NCBI's taxonomy places the organism in Eukaryota, Metazoa, Chordata, Actinopteri, Syngnathiformes, Syngnathidae.
AAAUGGCGACAUCUAGUGUUAGUAAUGGCGAGUGUAGGCCAUUUAGGUUUACACAUUACACAUUACAAUAUUGUAUUACAUAAACAUACGAACCAUUGGUUAAAAUACAUCUAUUACUACUUACAUAUAACACUGAGCUUUUUUAAUUUAGGUGUGCAAGCGGGACAAUAAGAAAACAAGUCAAACAGACGCCAGUUUUAUGGACCCGAAAAUGCCGACCAGAAGUGCCGCCAGUCGUGGGACAUGCAAGUAGAAGCAGUGUGGCGAAAUUUUUUUCUCUGCAUUUGAUCCAUCACCCUUGAUCACCCCCCUGGGAGGUGAGGGGAGCAGUGAGCAGCAGCGGUGCCGCGCCCGGGUGUCAGGCUUGGACUUGGUCUUGGGUUGUUUUCCCGAAGUGCAAAGCGAA